RNAcentral lists this ribosomal RNA (893 nucleotides) under Curtobacterium sp. Its description in RNAcentral is "bacterial SSU rRNA". It matches the Rfam family "Bacterial small subunit ribosomal RNA", at positions 56 to 960 of the family's 1533-position model. The record is from RNAcentral. Lineage: Bacteria; Bacillati; Actinomycetota; Actinomycetes; Micrococcales; Microbacteriaceae.
UGCAGUCGAACGAUGAUGCCCAGCUUGCUGGGUUGAUUAGUGGCGAACGGGUGAGUAACACGUGAGUAACCUGCCCCUGACUCUGGGAUAAGCGUUGGAAACGACGUCUAAUACUGGAUAUGAUCGCCGGCCGCAUGGUCUGGUGGUGGAAAGAUUUUUUGGUUGGGGAUGGACUCGCGGCCUAUCAGCUUGUUGGUGAGGUAAUGGCUCACCAAGGCGACGACGGGUAGCCGGCCUGAGAGGGUGACCGGCCACACUGGGACUGAGACACGGCCCAGACUCCUACGGGAGGCAGCAGUGGGGAAUAUUGCACAAUGGGCGAAAGCCUGAUGCAGCAACGCCGCGUGAGGGAUGACGGCCUUCGGGUUGUAAACCUCUUUUAGUAGGGAAGAAGCGAAAGUGACGGUACCUGCAGAAAAAGCACCGGCUAACUACGUGCCAGCAGCCGCGGUAAUACGUAGGGUGCAAGCGUUGUCCGGAAUUAUUGGGCGUAAAGAGCUCGUAGGCGGUUUGUCGCGUCUGCUGUGAAAUCCCGAGGCUCAACCUCGGGCUUGCAGUGGGUACGGGCAGACUAGAGUGCGGUAGGGGAGAUUGGAAUUCCUGGUGUAGCGGUGGAAUGCGCAGAUAUCAGGAGGAACACCGAUGGCGAAGGCAGAUCUCUGGGCCGUAACUGACGCUGAGGAGCGAAAGCAUGGGGAGCGAACAGGAUUAGAUACCCUGGUAGUCCAUGCCGUAAACGUUGGGCGCUAGAUGUAGGGACCUUUCCACGGUUUCUGUGUCGUAGCUAACGCAUUAAGCGCCCCGCCUGGGGAGUACGGCCGCAAGGCUAAAACUCAAAGGAAUUGACGGGGGCCCGCACAAGCCGCGGAGCAUGCGGAUUAAUUCGAUGCAAC